UUACUGAGUGAGGGCCCUCUGGGUCCAACCUCCCACCCGUGUUUAUUGUACCUUGUUGCUUCGGUGCGCCCGCCUCACGGCCGCCGGGGGGCUUCUGCCCCCGGGUCCGCGCGCACCGGAGACACUAUUGAACUCUGUCUGAAGAUUGCAGUCUGAGCAUAAACUAAAUAAGUUAAAACUUUCAACAACGGAUCUCUUGGUUCCGGCAUCGAUGAAGAACGCAGCGAAAUGCGAUAACUAAUGUGAAUUGCAGAAUUCAGUGAAUCAUCGAGUCUUUGAACGCACAUUGCGCCCCCUGGUAUUCCGGGGGGCAUGCCUGUCCGAGCGUCAUUGCUGCCCUCAAGCACGGCUUGUGUGUUGGGCUCCGUCCCCCCGGGGACGGGUCCGAAAGGCAGCGGCGGCACCGAGUCCGGUCCUCGAGCGUAUGGGGCUUUGUCACCCGCUCUGUAGGCCCGGCCGGCGCCAGCCGACAACCAAUCAUCCUUUUUUCAGGUUGACCUCGGAUCAGGUAGGGAUACCCGCUGAACUUAAGCAUAUCAAUAAGCGGAGGAAAAGAAACCAACAGGGAUUACCUCAGUAACGGCGAGUGAAGCGGUAAGAGCUCAAAUUUGAAAGCUGGCUCCUUCGGGGUCCGCAUUGUAAUUUGCAGAGGAUGUUUCGGGAGCAGCCCCCAUCUAAGUGUCCUGGAACGGACCGUCAUAGAGGGUGAGAAUCCCGUAUGGGGAUGGGGUGUCUGCGCCCAUGUGAAACUCCUUCGACGAG
Molecule: ribosomal RNA, 762 nt
Filed under: fungal sp.
Lineage: Eukaryota; Fungi
Description: eukaryotic LSU rRNA
Rfam family: Eukaryotic large subunit ribosomal RNA (bases 495-762)
Source: RNAcentral